GGGGAUGUGGUCCAAGGGUAAGAUCCUGCUCUGGUCCUCCGAGGGGACCGUCACCGCACCCGGAGAGUAGGGACGCUGGUUCGACUCCGGCCUUCUCCA
This is a non-coding RNA of Oleoguttula mirabilis, 99 nucleotides long. The record is from the annotation of a GenBank genome assembly. Lineage: Eukaryota; Fungi; Ascomycota; Dothideomycetes; Mycosphaerellales; Teratosphaeriaceae.